GAUGAACGCUGGCGGCGUGCCUAAUACAUGCAAGUCGAGCGAACAGACGAGGAGCUUGCUCCUCUGACGUUAGCGGCGGACGGGUGAGUAACACGUGGAUAUCCUACCUAUAAGACUGGGAUAACUUCGGGAAACCGGAGCUAAUACCGGAUAAUAUAUUGAACCGCAUGGUUCAAUAGUGAAAGACGGUUUCGCUGUCACUUAUAGAUGGAUCCGCGCCGCAUUAGCUAGUUGGUAAGGUAACGGCUUACCAAGGCAACGAUGCGUAGCCGACCUGAGAGGUUGAUCGGCCACACUGGAACUGAGACACGGUCCAGACUCCUACGGGAGGCAGCAGUAGGGAAUCUUCCGCAAUGGGCGAAAGCCUGACGGAGCAACGCCGCGUGAGUGAUGAAGGUCUUCGGAUCGUAAAACUCUGUUAUUAGGGAAGAACAAAUGUGUAAGUAACUAUGCACGUCUUGACGGUACCUAAUCAGAAAGCCACGGCUAACUACGUG
RNAcentral lists this ribosomal RNA (497 nucleotides) under uncultured bacterium. Its description in RNAcentral is "partial 16S ribosomal RNA". It matches the Rfam family "Bacterial small subunit ribosomal RNA", at positions 28 to 507 of the family's 1533-position model. The record is from RNAcentral.